This 497-nucleotide ribosomal RNA is filed under the name uncultured bacterium. RNAcentral describes it as "partial 16S ribosomal RNA". It matches the Rfam family "Bacterial small subunit ribosomal RNA", at positions 28 to 523 of the family's 1533-position model. The record is from RNAcentral.
GAUGAACGCUAGCGACAGGCUUAACACAUGCAAGUCGAGGGGUAGCAGGGUAGCAAUACCGCUGACGACCGGCGCACGGGUGAGUAACGCGUAUCCAAUCUACCUGUAACUCGGGGAUAGCCUUUUGAAAGAAAGAUUAAUACCCGGUAAUACUGAGAGUGAGCAUUCAUAUUCAGUUAAAGAUUUAUCGGUUACAGAUGAGGAUGCGUCCCAUUAGAUAGUUGGUAGGUAACGGCCUACCAAGUCUGCGAUGGGUAGGGGUUCUGAGAGGAAGGUCCCCCACAUUGGAACUGAGACACGGUCCAAACUCCUACGGGAGGCAGCAGUGAGGAAUAUUGGUCAAUGGGCGAGAGCCUGAACCAGCCAAGUCGCGUGAAGGAUGACUGCCCUAUGGGUUGUAAACUUCUUUUUUAGGGGAAUAAAGUGAGUCACGUGUGACUUUUUGUAUGUACCCUACGAAUAAGCAUCGGCUAACUCCGUGCCAGCCGCCGCCGUAA